UCGCAAGACCUUGCGCUUUUGGAGCGGCCGAUGUCUGAUUAGCUAGUUGGUGAGGUAAAGGCUUACCAAGGCUUCGAUCAGUAGCUGGUCUGAGAGGACGACCAGCCACACUGGGACUGAGACACGGCCCAGACUCCUACGGGAGGCAGCAGUGGGGAAUUUUGGACAAUGGGGGAAACCCUGAUCCAGCCAUGCCGCGUGAGUGAAGAAGGCCUUCGGGUUGUAAAGCUCUUUCAGCCGGAACGAAAAGGUUACGGUUAAUACCCGUGACUAAUGACGGUACCGGAAGAAGAAGCACCGGCUAACUACGUGCCAGCAGCCGCGGUAAUACGUAGGGUGCGAGCGUUAAUCGGAAUUACUGGGCGUAAAGCGUGCGCAGGCGGUUUUGUAAGUCAGAUG
Molecule: ribosomal RNA, 399 nt
Filed under: uncultured Nitrosospira sp.
Lineage: Bacteria; Pseudomonadati; Pseudomonadota; Betaproteobacteria; Nitrosomonadales; Nitrosomonadaceae
Description: bacterial SSU rRNA
Rfam family: Bacterial small subunit ribosomal RNA
Source: RNAcentral